RNAcentral lists this small nuclear RNA (105 nucleotides) under Penicillium nordicum. Lineage: Eukaryota; Fungi; Ascomycota; Eurotiomycetes; Eurotiales; Aspergillaceae. The record is from RNAcentral.
GUCGCCCUUCGUGGCAUAUGGUCAAAUGAAAAUAUACAGAGAAGAUUAGCAUGGCCCCUGCACUAAGGAUGACAUGUCUCAAUCAAAGAGCAGCUACCUAUUUUU